Molecule: long non-coding RNA, 812 nt
Organism: Trifolium pratense (red clover)
Lineage: Eukaryota; Viridiplantae; Streptophyta; Magnoliopsida; Fabales; Fabaceae
Exons: 2
Source: RefSeq, a predicted model, not a curated record
ACGUAGAUCCAAUGUAUCAGUUAAGGAAUAUUGGCCAACCAUGAUCAUUCAUUAGCACCUUAAUUACUUUCUUAAGUUGUGAAUACUAAUUAUUACGUCAUUAUGCUGCCAGUAACCAUUCUCCUACUCUCUUGAUGAGACCAAAUUCAUACCUUUUUAUUUUCCAUUCCUUAUAUAAGGUCAAGGCAAUUAAGCUAUAGUAAUUUCUCUUAACUACCAUUAUUCUAUUUAAUCUAGACCAUUCUAUUAGUUCAUUGCUCAGCCACAUAUAUUGAGGAAAAUAUCAAAAAUCUCUAUUAGAAGCCUCACGCAAAUUUUGAGACUCUCACACCAUUCUCUUGAUUUUUCAAGUCUCACGAUCAUCAUCUAUAGUCCAUUGAAAAUAUUUUAAGUCUCUCAAGUAUCUAUAUACCAUCUAUUUUCUUCUAUAUUUCAUGUAAGUCUUUCUAUACAUCCUUCUCUAUUUUAUCCCUUGUUUCACCUUGUGAAUCCUAAUUCUAUGUCAUUUUCAUUUUCCCUUGGGUUGUCUCCGUUAACCGUCGGAUCGUCGAAUCGAACCUUUGGAGCGUGAGAUAUCGUAUAUGCACUGUAGCUGCGAAUUUAAGAUAGUAUAGUGAUUGGAAGAAAGCACUUGAGGUACUCAAGGAGAAAGCUUUGAUUGAAUGUGAUGUGAUGCUUGAAGCGCGUACGAACAGGGGAAAAAUUGGGUUUUGUAAAUUGAGAAUUUUAUGUAAAUAGUUCUUUGUUGUAUUUUCUUCCGCUGGAAAUUUUAAACUAUUACUCAUUUUAAUUAAGUUUAUAUUUUAAUUGAA